GGUUUUUAGUUUGAUAUAAUUUCCCUUGCUUAUUUUUGCUUUUGUUCCCUGUGUUUUUGAGGUCUUACUCAUUAAAUCUUUCCCUAGAUGUAUGCCCUGACGUGUUUCCCCUAUGUUUUCUUCUAGUGUUUUAUAGUUUCGGGUUUUACAUUUAGGUUAGAUGUUCUCAUAUAAAAUGCCUUCUCUUUUUUGUCUUAGGCACCCUGUGGUAAAUUAGUGUAUAUUCAUUCAUUAAUUUGAUUCCUAAUCUUACUGAUUUUAAAACAAUUCCACAUAUAGCAACUUGGCAUAAGGAGGAUAAAGCUAGUUUGUUUUAGAUAUCCUCAGCACUGCCCCAUAUUGCUGCAUUAUAGUGCAUGCAUGGAUUGCUCACAGUGCUGCAGAGAGCACAGGAAACACAUGUUUACAGGUUCUCAGAAAACAUAAAGUCUAUUCUCCAUAGAUACUGCUUAGCUGAUAGUCAUCAACAGGAAAAUUGCUCUCAUUCCUUGAUGCUUUUUUCUUCACAAUGUAUUUUCACAUCCAUGAGUGUGUCCUACCCUAAUAAUAUUUCUGGGAAGUGAGCAGAAUAGAAAUUAUUUAUCUGCGUUUGACAAAUGUAUACAAUGAAAUACUGUGGAAGCUGUCUCUGAACUUUAUGAGAUGAUCCCUGGUUUUCACUGGUUCUUUUCUUGACUCUCAUGUACCUCAUAUACGUUGUCCCAGGGGACUACUAUUUAGGGACUUGGUAACGAGUCUUUCCCAAACAGAUUCUCAAACAGGUAAGAAUAUGUGGAUCAGGAGCCAUUGUGAUUUGUAUUCCCCAUGAGAUCGUGCAGUAUACAGCCUGCACAAGGGUAUGUGACAAUCCCGUGUGAAUGUUGGGGAAAAGGUAAGGAAGGGUUGCAACAUGAAACCAGGAUUGUUUCUGGGGAGCUUAAGGGCCUGUCUCAGCCACCUGCCACUUGUAACCAGGUUUGAUUUGAUGAAGAUGAGCCCCCAGCUGGCCCAGGUCAGUGGAACAGGGGCAUCAACCUCAGCAGCAGCAGGUGGCCGUGUAGCAGCAAGGAGGAAUGGCAGAAGAAGCCUGCAGGAAUCUCCAUUGGGAGGGUGCAGGGAUUCAGGCUGAACUGAAUUUCUCAUUCCUCAGCACCUGCCAACUCCAUGCUGGCCCCCAGGCAGCAGGGGCUGGUGUGCUAAAGAACUGAGCCUUCUCACCAAUAGCAGUGAGGGCCUGAGACCACCUGUCAAUAGUCACAUGAAUAAAACAACUUGGAAGCAGAUCCUCCAGCUUCAGUCAUGCCUUCAGAUGAUCGCAGCCCUGAAGAUGCUGACAUCUUAGCUGCAACCUCAUGAGAGACCCUGGGCCCAACCACUCAGCUAAGUUGCUCAUGAAUUACUCACUCACAGAAUUAUAAAAUAAAUGUUUGUUGAUUUAA
Molecule: non-coding RNA, 1418 nt
Organism: Macaca mulatta (Rhesus monkey)
Lineage: Eukaryota; Metazoa; Chordata; Mammalia; Primates; Cercopithecidae
Source: RefSeq, a predicted model, not a curated record